RNAcentral lists this ribosomal RNA (253 nucleotides) under uncultured bacterium. Its description in RNAcentral is "partial 16S ribosomal RNA". It matches the Rfam family "Bacterial small subunit ribosomal RNA", at positions 524 to 776 of the family's 1533-position model. The record is from RNAcentral.
UACGUAGGGGGCAAGCGUUGUCCGGAUUUAUUGGGCGUAAAGGGCUCGUAGGCGGUUUGUCGCGUCGGGAGUGAAAACACCGGGCUUAACUCGGUGCUUGCUUUCGAUACGGGCAGACUAGAGGCAUGCAGGGGAGAACGGAAUUCCUGGUGUAGCGGUGAAAUGCGCAGAUAUCAGGAGGAACACCGGUGGCGAAGGCGGUUCUCUGGGCAUGUCCUGACGCUGAGGAGCGAAAGUGUGGGGAGCGAACAGG